RNAcentral lists this ribosomal RNA (233 nucleotides) under uncultured bacterium. Its description in RNAcentral is "partial 16S ribosomal RNA". It matches the Rfam family "Bacterial small subunit ribosomal RNA", at positions 86 to 334 of the family's 1533-position model. The record is from RNAcentral.
CGGGCCGGAGUGGCGGACGGGUGAGUAACGCGUAGGUAUCUGUCCUUGGGUGGGGGAUAACCGUGGGAAACCGCGGCUAAUACCGCAUGACACCUGUGGGUCAAAGGCGCAAGUCGCCUGGGGAGGAGCCUGCGUCCGAUUAGCUAGUUGGUGGGGUAAUGGCUCACCAAGGCUCCGAUCGGUAGCUGGUCUGAGAGGAUGAUCAGCCACAUUGGGACUGAGACACGGCCCAA